UCUGCUAUGUUUUUAAAUAGAAUUAUGAUAUGGUGCAAUGAUGAUUGACCAUUACUGAUAUAGGUACGCUCUUGAGCAAUCAAGCAAGCUGCUUAGCUUUUGAUAUAUUCCUUUUUGCCAAACUUGAUGUGUCGAGCUUUGAGCUACAAACUUGAUGGAAUGUGCUUGGCCGUGGAAGAGGGGGUGGCACUAUCUUUCCUCCUUCAGAUCAGGGUGUUCCUCCUGCUGUGAUUGAGUCUGGUGUUUUUCCUCGG
This is a long non-coding RNA of Triticum aestivum (bread wheat), 254 nucleotides long. RefSeq lists it as uncharacterized. NCBI's taxonomy places the organism in Eukaryota, Viridiplantae, Streptophyta, Magnoliopsida, Poales, Poaceae. The transcript is spliced from 3 exons. The record is from RefSeq and is a predicted model, not a curated record.